RNAcentral lists this small RNA (867 nucleotides) under Pan troglodytes (chimpanzee). RNAcentral's name for it is "processed transcript". Lineage: Eukaryota; Metazoa; Chordata; Mammalia; Primates; Hominidae. The record is from RNAcentral.
GGUGGAUCCCGAAUAAGUUGCUGUGCAUAAGUUAACCAUGCAGCUCUUGGCAGCUGGUGUGGGGACUCAAACCCGGGAUUAGGGACUGGAAUGGAGCAGCUCAUCGCUCCCUACAUUAACCGACCUGGGAAAUGCUUGUCUGACCCUGUGUGUCGGAAACAGGGCACAUUGCUGUAGCAAAGUGGUGAAGAUAAGAUUGGUGACCAGUGUUCCAUUCUGCUCUCCUGACCCAUUUCCUCUGGUUAAGCAUGCCUGGAGAAGAGGAGAGCUUGGCAGGGAAGAAUGGGGGUUCCACGCAGUCACAUGUGACUCCUGACAUUCCUGCAGCAAAGAGCUCCUGGGAAGGUGCUGCUGGAUGCAGUUUGCAACCACCUCAACCUCGUGGAAGGUGACUAUUUUGGCCUCGAGUUUCCUGAUCACAAAAAGAUCACGGUGUGGCUGGAUCUCCUAAAACCCAUUGUGAAACAGAUUAGAAGGCCAAAGCAUGUUGUUGUUAAGUUUGUGGUGAAAUUCUUUCCGCCUGACCACACACAACUCCAAGAAGAACUCACAAGGUACCUGUUCGCGCUGCAGGUGAAGCAGGACUUGGCUCAAGGCAGGUUGACGUGUAAUGACACCAGCGCAGCUCUCUUGAUUUCACACAUUGUGCAAUCUGAGAUUGGGGAUUUUGAUGAAGCCUUGGACAGAGAGCACUUAGCAAAAAAUAAAUACAUACCUCAGCAAGACGCACUAGAGGACAAAAUCGUGGAAUUUCACCAUAACCACAUUGGACAAACACCAGCAGAAUCAGAUUUCCAGCUCCUAGAGAUUGCCCGUCGGCUAGAGAUGUAUGGAAUCCGGUUGCACCCGGCCAAGGACAGGGAAGGC